UUUUACUAGUGAGAGUACAAUAUCUAUAUAUACAUUUUCAGAAACAUUUAUGAAAAAAUUCCUCAAGUUCACACUUAUUUACAAUCCUGCCACUGUCUUUAAUUUUUUUAAUUGAUAAGUUGGGUUCUACGAUUAACAAUAAACAACUGAAGGCUGAAGCCCAUUUCAAUUCUACUAUUAAUAUGAAUCCGAAUAAUUGCCCACCCCCAAAAAAAAAAUUUCAAAUAUUUAAUAGAUUUUAUUACCUUCAAUGAUAAUCCUAAGCGAGAUUUGUUGCCUAACUUCUUGAUUUGCAAAUAUCUUCUAAAUCAAUCAAGUGAAACAGAAAUAAAUAUAAGAAUAUAUCAUAUCACACAAAGAUACCAUAAAAACUAAUAUAGUAAUUAUCUCCCUAAUUACUUGCUUGAUCGGAUUUUUUUGGUAUUGUAAAAGAUGUGUUCGUCGACCUAAUCGGUUCCUUAUAAAUAAUACUAACCUAAAACUCAAAUAAUCAUAAGAAAUCACAUCUAUACAGCUUUCACAAAAAAAUCUUAAAUACUUUAUCUCUUAAUUCUCUAUGGCUGCUACUUUUGCCUUCUUGAAAGAUGUUUGAAAACCGCAUAGAGGGUCCAAGUGAAGGUCAUCCAUUCAUGGCAUCAAUAUACCCAAAACACUGUGGAAACGCUAGAGUUCGUUUUCUCAGAUUCAAUGGUUUUAUAUGUGAAGACUUUUCUAUCACUACUGAAGAUUAUGUAAACGUCAAUUGUACUUAUCUUUCUCAUGGCAGCUACAGGUUUUAUAUGUGAAUACUGGAUUUAUGUGGACAAGAUUUGGAAAUCAUGUAUCCAUGUCACAAUUGAAUAUAGGCAGCAC
Molecule: non-coding RNA, 852 nt
Organism: Camelina sativa (false flax)
Lineage: Eukaryota; Viridiplantae; Streptophyta; Magnoliopsida; Brassicales; Brassicaceae
Source: RefSeq, a predicted model, not a curated record